CAGUAGGUAGCUCAGUGGUAGAGAGCAUGCUUUGUAUGUAGGAUGUCAUGGGUUCAAUCCCCAGCUUCCCUG
Non-coding RNA from Dallia pectoralis (Alaska blackfish), 72 nucleotides. Lineage: Eukaryota; Metazoa; Chordata; Actinopteri; Esociformes; Umbridae. The record is from the annotation of a GenBank genome assembly.